This 1137-nucleotide ribosomal RNA is filed under the name Triticum aestivum (bread wheat). Its description in RNAcentral is "partial small subunit ribosomal RNA". Lineage: Eukaryota; Viridiplantae; Streptophyta; Magnoliopsida; Poales; Poaceae. The record is from RNAcentral.
AUGCGCAGCAAGAGCUCCUUUUUCAACUGGUUCUACAUGUCCAUCAACGUCGGCGCCCUCGUCGCCUCCUCGAUGCUCGUCUGGGUCCAGAUGAACGUCGGAUGGGGCUGGGGAUUCGGCAUCCCCGCCGCCGCCAUGGCCGUCGCCGUCGUCAGCUUCCUCAUGGGCAGCAGGCUCUACAGGUACCAGAAGCCCGGGGGCAGCCCGCUCACCAGGAUGCUGCAGGUCGUGGUCGCCGCCUGCAGGAAGUCGCAUGUCCCCCUCCCCGCCGACGCCUCCCUGCUGCACGAAGUCGCCUCGCCCGACGGCAAGGCCGCCAUCGAGGGCAGCAGGAGGCUGGAGCACACGGAUCAGCUGAGGUGCCUGGACAAGGCCGCCGUGCUUGUGACGACGCCCGGGCCCGGCGGCGCUCAAGAGGAAAACCCGUGGAGGCUGUGCACGGUGACGCAGGUGGAGGAGCUCAAGAGCAUGGUGCGGCUGCUGCCGGUGUGGGCGAGCGGCAUCGUCAUGUCGGCGGUGUACAGCCAGAUGAGCACCAUGUUCGUGCUCCAGGGCAACACCCUGGACCCGCGCAUGGGCGCCUCCUUCAAGAUCCCCGCCGCCUCGCUCUCCAUCUUCGACACCAUCGCCGUCAUCGUGUGGGCGCUCGCCUACGACCGGCUCAUCGUCCCCGCCGCACGCCGGAUCACGGGCCACCCGCGCGGGUUCACGCAGCUGCAGCGCAUGGGCAUCGGCCUGGUGAUAUCCAUCUUCUCCAUGGUGGCCGCCGGGGUGCUGGAGGUUGUCAGGCUCCACGUCGCCGCCACACACGGCAUGCUGGACUCCAAGGAGUACCUGCCCAUGUCCAUCUUCUGGCAGGUGCCGCAGUACUUCAUCGUGGGCGCGGCGGAGGUGUUCACGUUCGUGGGGCAGAUCGAGUUCUUCUACGACCAGUCGCCGGACGCCAUGAGGAGCAUGGGGUCGGCGCUGUCGCUCACGUCCAACGCGCUGGGCAACUACCUGAGCACGCUGCUGGUGGUGAUCGUGACGGCCAUCUCCACCAGGAACGGCGGCCUCGGGUGGAUCCCGGAUGACAACCUCAACCGGGGGCACCUCGACUACUUCUACUGGGUGCUGGCCGUGCUCAGCGCCCUCUAA